AACGAACGCUGGCGGCAGGCUUAACACAUGCAAGUCGAACGCCCCGCAAGGGGAGUGGCAGACGGGUGAGUAACGCGUGGGAAUCUACCGUACCCUACGGAACAACAGUUGGAAGCGACUGCUAAUACCGUAUACGCCCUUAGGGGGAAAGAUUUAUCGGGGUAUGAUGAGCCCGCGUUGGAUUAGCUAGUUGGUGGGGUAAGGGCCUACCAAGGCGACGAUCCAUAGCUGGUCUGAGAGGAUGAUCAGCCACAUUGGGACUGAGACACGGCCCAAACUCCUACGGGAGGCAGCAGUGGGGAAUAUUGGACAAUGGGCGCAAGCCUGAUCCAGCCAUGCCGCGUGAGUGAUGAAGGUCUUAGGAUUGUAAAGCUCUUUCACCGAUGAAGAUAAUGACGGUAGUCGGAGAAGAAGCCCCGGCUAACUUCGUGCCAGCCGCCGCGGUAA
RNAcentral lists this ribosomal RNA (447 nucleotides) under uncultured bacterium. RNAcentral's name for it is "partial 16S ribosomal RNA". It matches the Rfam family "Bacterial small subunit ribosomal RNA", at positions 29 to 523 of the family's 1533-position model. The record is from RNAcentral.